RNAcentral lists this ribosomal RNA (365 nucleotides) under uncultured archaeon. Its description in RNAcentral is "bacterial SSU rRNA". It matches the Rfam family "Archaeal small subunit ribosomal RNA", at positions 19 to 388 of the family's 1478-position model. The record is from RNAcentral.
GGACCUGACUGCUAUCGGAUUGAUACUAAGCCAUGCGAGUCAUUGUAGUAAUACAAGGCAGACGGCUCAGUAACGCGUAGUCAACCUACCCUAUGGACGGGGAUAACCUCGGGAAACUGAGAAUAAUACCCGAUAGAACAUUAUGCCUGGAAUGGUUUAUGUUUCAAAUAAUUUAUUGCCGUAGGAUGGGACUGCGGCCUAUCAGUUUGUUGGUGAGGUAAUGGCCCACCAAGACUAUUACAGGUACGGGCUCUGAGAGGAGUAGCCCGGAGAUGGGUACUGAGACACGGACCCAGGCCCUAUGGGGCGCAGCAGGCGAGAAAACUUUGCAAUGUGCGAAAGCACGACAAGGUUAAUCCGAGUGG